AACGAACGCUGGCGGCAUGCCUAGCACAUGCAAGUCGAACGAGACCUUCGGGUCUAGUGGCGCACGGGUGCGUAACGCGUGGGAACCUGCCCUUAGGUUCGGAAUAACUCCCCGAAAGGGGUGCUAAUACCGGAUAAUGUCUUCGGACCAAAGAUUUAUCGCCUUUGGAUGGGCCCGCGUUGGAUUAGCUAGUUGGUAGGGUAAAAGCCUACCAAGGCGACGAUCCAUAGCUGGUCUGAGAGGAUGAUCAGCCACACUGGGACUGAGACACGGCCCAGACUCCUACGGGAGGCAGCAGUGGGGAAUAUUGGACAAUGGGCGAAAGCCUGAUCCAGCAAUGCCGCGUGAAUGAUGAAGGCCUUAGGGUUGUAAAGCUCUUUUACCCGGGAUGAUAAUGACAGUACCGGGAGAAUAAGCUCCGGCUAACUCCGUG
This 433-nucleotide ribosomal RNA is filed under the name uncultured bacterium. RNAcentral describes it as "partial 16S ribosomal RNA". It matches the Rfam family "Bacterial small subunit ribosomal RNA", at positions 29 to 507 of the family's 1533-position model. The record is from RNAcentral.